Molecule: non-coding RNA, 2225 nt
Organism: Vicugna pacos (alpaca)
Lineage: Eukaryota; Metazoa; Chordata; Mammalia; Artiodactyla; Camelidae
Source: RefSeq, a predicted model, not a curated record
CUCGCGGUCCAGGUCCAGGUCUAGGUCCAGGAGUCCUCCACCCGUGUCCAAGAGGGAAUCCAAGUCCAGGUCGCGAUCCAAGAGUCCUCCCAAGUCUCCUGAAGAGGAAGGAGCGGUGUCCUCUUAAGCAAAUGGUAAUGUCUAGGGGGAUCCGAGACUCAUGGCCCGAAAUCAGAGAUGGGGUUUGGAGUAGGUUUUUUGAUCCGUAUUAAUGAAAAAGUGACUCCUGAUGUUAGGAGUGCUGCUCUGAGCUAACUCAGUUUUGGGAGUAAUACUGAAGAGAGGGGUCUGCAGAAAGGAUGUGUAUAAAGCUUAGAUAAUAAUGGCUGUUUCAUGAACUGUUUGAGACCUAUUAAUGAAAAUGACUAUUUCUUGCUGUUUUUAUCCAACGUCUGCAUUUUCCCCUUUAAAGCUGCGGUCUCCUGUUUGAUAAAAGAAUAUUGGCCAGUAUUGCAGAUUUUAACUGAUUUGGCUGAUCCUCCAGGGACCAGUUUCUGUGGGCGUGUAUUGGAGCAGAUGUGUCGACAAGCAACAUAAAGGAAGACUUGGGGGAAAAGGACCAAGUACUCAGUCCAUCGAAGAGUCCUUGGAACAAGCAACUGGCUAUUGAAAAGGUUAUUUUGUAACAUUUUGUCUAACUUUUUACUUGUUUUAAGCUUUGCCUCAGGUGGCAAGCUAAUUUUAUGUGCCAUUUUGUUGCUGUUAUUCAAAUUUCUUGUAAUUUAGUGAGGUGAACGACUUCAGAUUUCAUUAUUGGCUUGGAUAUUUGAGGUAAAAUUUCCUUUUUGUUUAUAUAGUGCUGACUUUUUUUGUUUGAAAUUAAACAGAUUGGUAACCUAAUUUGUGGCCUCCUUACUUUUAAGGAAACGUGUGCAGCCAUUACACACAGCCUAAAGCUGUCAAGAGAUUGACUCAACAUUGCCUUCAUACCUUAAAAUUUAAAACCUACAAAAGUUGGUGUAAAUUUGUUUGUAUAUGUUAUUUACCUUCAGGUCUAAAUGGUAAACUGAACCCAAAUUUGUAUAAAGACUUUUCAGGUGAAAAGACUUGAUUUUUUUUGAAAGGAUUGUUUACCAAACACAAUUCUAAUCUCUUCUCUUAUGUAUUUUUGUGCACUAGGCGCAGUUGUGUAGCAGUUGAGUAAUGCUGGUUAGCUGUUAAGGUGGCGUGUUGCAGUGCAGAGUGCUUGGCUGUUUCCUGUUUUCUCCUGAUUGCUCCUGUGUAAAGAUGCCUUGUCGUGCAGAAACAAAUGGCUGUCCAGUUUAUUAAAAUGCCUGACAACUGCACUUCCAGUCACCCGGGCCUUGCAUAUAUAUAACGGAGCAUACAGUGAGCACAUCUAGAGAUGAUAAAUACACCUUUUUUUUCUUCCUCUUCCCCCUCCCCCAAAUGGUAAAUUUGAACAUCUUCAUGUAUGAACUUAAAAUACGGAAAAUGUUAAGGAAGCAAACAAAAUGGUUUUGUAACUUUGUAAGUACUUAUAACAUGGUGUAUUUUUUUUCCUCAUGAAUAUUCUGUACUAUAACCAUUGUUUCUGUAGUUUAAUUAAAACGUUUUCUUGGUGUUAGCUUUUUUCAGAAUAUGUCUUGGUCUUUUUUCCCCCAUUUAUUUGAAAGACCUGUGCAAUUACCUUGUGAAUGUUACCGGCUGUAUAGUAUGAAAGUGAAAUGUUCAGUAGCUGAUUACUUUCCCCCUGAGUUAAAAGGUGGAAAUGCCAGUUCAGCACCAGCUGUCCCUAAAAUGAAUGCUCUUAAGAGGUAGCACUUUGAGGUUGUGGGUACCUCCUGCUCUCAACCCAGAUGCCCUAUUUUACUGACUAAGGAAAAGAUCCAAGAGUUUUUUCUUAUAAGUGUUUAAUGGUUUUUUUGGUUUUAAUUGUUAUGUGAUCCAUCACAAUCCAAAGCCAACAGGUCUAAUCCAUCUUCAAAUUCACUGUUUGUACACGAGAAGCUGAAGUGGUCUGAGUCAUAGUUGGCUUGCCAAGUUGCUAAUCAGUAUUGACAUUGUCCCAAAACAGCCUGUAGGUAUAAUUCAGAGACUGUCCUUUGCAAAGGAGAUGACCAGCAUUUCAACAGUAUGUCUUCCUGGGAGGGCAGAUUCUGCUAUAUCUUCCUUGUCUGCACCAAAAGACUCCAGAGGAAUGUGAACACAUUUCAUGUCCCACUUGUAGAGCAAAGCUUCAAGUGACCAGUCAGCACUAAAAAAUAAAUUUUUUUUAAAACUAA